UACGUAGGGGGCGAGCGUUGUCCGGAUUCAUUGGGCGUAAAGCGCGCGUAGGCGGCCUGGUAAGUCGGCCGUGAAAUCUCCGGGCUCAACUCGGAGGGGUCGGGCGAGACUGCGAGGCUCGAGGUGGGCAGAGGGCAGUGGAAUUCCGGGUGUAGUGGUGGAAUGCGUAGAGAUCCGGAGGAACACCAGUGGCGAAGGCGGCUGCCUGGGCCUGGCCUGACGCUGAGGCGCGAAAGCGUGGGGAG
Molecule: ribosomal RNA, 245 nt
Filed under: uncultured bacterium
Lineage: Bacteria
Description: partial 16S ribosomal RNA
Rfam family: Bacterial small subunit ribosomal RNA
Source: RNAcentral